CCUACGGGAGGCAGCAGUGGGGAAUCUUGCGCAAUGGGCGAAAGCCUGACGCAGCCAUGCCGCGUGAAUGAUGAAGGUCUUAGGAUUGUAAAAAUUCUUUCACCGGGGACGAUAAUGACGGUACCCGGAGAAGAAGCCCCGGCUAACUUCGUGCCAGCAGCCGCGGUAAUACGAAGGGGGCUAGCGUUGCUCGGAAUUACUGGGCGUAAAGGGAGCGUAGGCGGAUAGUUUAGUCAGAGGUGAAAGCCCAGGGCUCAACCUUGGAAUUGCCUUUGAUACUGGCUAUCUUGAGUAUGGGAGAGGUUAGCGGAACUCCGAGUGUAGAGGUGAAAUUCGUAGAUAUUCGGAAGAACACCAGUGGCGAAGGCGGCUAACUGGCCCAUUACUGACGCUGAGGCUCGAAAGCGUGGGGAGCAAACAGGAUUAGAUACCCUGGUAGUCCACGCCGUAAACGAUGAGUGCUAGUUGUCGGCAUGCAUGCAUGUCGGUGACGCAGCUACGACAUUAAGUACACUCCGCCGUCGGGGAGGUACGGUCGCGAAGAAUUAAAACUUAAAUUAGUAAGUUAGACGGCGUGAGACGUCGCCGACGGACGACGACGAGGGAGGUUAGG
Molecule: ribosomal RNA, 613 nt
Filed under: uncultured bacterium
Lineage: Bacteria
Description: bacterial SSU rRNA
Rfam family: Bacterial small subunit ribosomal RNA (bases 1-520)
Source: RNAcentral